This 76-nucleotide transfer RNA is filed under the name Eubacterium ramulus. RNAcentral's name for it is "tRNA-Pro(ggg)". It matches the Rfam family "tRNA". From Rfam's summary of the family: Transfer RNA (tRNA) molecules are approximately 80 nucleotides in length. Lineage: Bacteria; Bacillati; Bacillota; Clostridia; Eubacteriales; Eubacteriaceae. RNAcentral also lists the same sequence under 1 other name. The record is from RNAcentral.
UCGGGGUGUGGCUUAGUCUGGUAAAGCGCUCGUCUGGGGGGCGAGAGAUCGCAAGUUCAAAUCUUGUCACUCCGAU